ACUUUAAUUGAAGAGUUUGAUCAUGGCUCAGAUUGAACGCUGGCGGCAGGCCUAACACAUGCAAGUCGAGCGGUAACAUUUCAAAAGCUUGCUUUUGAAGAUGACGAGCGGCGGACGGGUGAGUAAUGCCUGGGAAUUUGCCCAUUU
RNAcentral lists this ribosomal RNA (147 nucleotides) under Shewanella algae. Its description in RNAcentral is "partial 16S ribosomal RNA". It matches the Rfam family "Bacterial small subunit ribosomal RNA", at positions 1 to 135 of the family's 1533-position model. Lineage: Bacteria; Pseudomonadati; Pseudomonadota; Gammaproteobacteria; Alteromonadales; Shewanellaceae. The record is from RNAcentral.